Molecule: ribosomal RNA, 255 nt
Filed under: uncultured bacterium
Lineage: Bacteria
Description: partial 16S ribosomal RNA
Rfam family: Bacterial small subunit ribosomal RNA
Source: RNAcentral
UACGUAGGGUGCAAGCGUUGUCCGGAAUCAUUGGGCGUAAAGAGCGUGUAGGCGGCCCGGUAAGUCCGCUGUGAAAGUCGGGGGCUCAACCCUCGAAUGCCGGUGGAUACUGUCGGGCUAGAGUGCGGAAGAGGCGAGUGGAAUUCCUGGGUGUAGCGGUGAAAUGCGCAGAUAUCAGGAGGAACACCGAUUGCGAAGGCAGCUCGCUGGGACGUAACUGACGCUGGAGACGCGAAAGCGUGGGGAGCAAACAGG